Molecule: ribosomal RNA, 403 nt
Filed under: Mirax lithocolletidis
Lineage: Eukaryota; Metazoa; Arthropoda; Insecta; Hymenoptera; Braconidae
Description: partial 16S ribosomal RNA
Source: RNAcentral
CUGCUCAAUGAAUAAAUUUAAAUAGCUGCAGUAUAAAUAACUGUACAAAGGUAGCAUAAUAAUUAGUUUUUUAAUUAAAAACUAGAAUGAAAGAUUUAAUGAAAUAUCAACUUUAUCAAAUUAAUAAAACUUAUUUUUUUUUUAAGUAAAAAAAUUUAAAUAAUUUUUAAAAGACGAGAAGACCCUAUAGAAUUUUUAAUUUUAUAAAUUAUUUAAAUUUAUUUUAUUAUUUUAAUUGGGGAAAUUUUUUAAAUUUUAAAAAUUUUAAUUAAAUAAACAAAAUUUUUUGUAUAAAUUAUAUUUUUUAAAAAAAUAAAUUAAAUUACCUUAGGGAUAACAGCAUAAUUUUUUUUAAAAGUUCAAAUUUAUAAAAAAGUUUAUGACCUCGAUGUUGAAUUAAGAU